CCUACGGGAGGCAGCAGUGGGGAAUUUUGGACAAUGGACGCAAGUCUGAUCCAGCCAUUCCGCGUGCAGGACGAAGGCCUUCGGGUUGUAAACUGCUUUUGUACGGAACGAAAAAGCUCCUAUUAAUACUAGGAGUCCAUGACGGUACCGUAAGAAUAAGCACCGGCUAACUACGUGCCAGCAGCCGCGGUAAUACGUAGGGUGCAAGCGUUAAUCGGAAUUACUGGGCGUAAAGCGUGCGCAGGCGGUUAUAUAAGACAGAUGUGAAAUCCCCGAGCUUAACUUGGGAACUGCAUUUGUGACUGUAUAGCUAGAGUACGGUAGAGGGGGAUGGAAUUCCGCGUGUAGCAGUGAAAUGCGUAGAUAUGCGGAGGAACACCGAUGGCGAAGGCAAUCCCCUGGGCCCUGUACGUGACGCUCAUGCAACGAAGCGGUGGGGAGACAAACGAGGUAUUAGACUACCCGUAGGUACGUCCGACCGUACCCGUAAACGAUCGUACAACGUUGGUUGGUUGGUUCUUACACUGACUCAGUAACGAGCUAACGCGUAGAAGUUCGACCGCCGUGGGGAGUACCGGCCGACGUAGGUUAGAACUACGAAAUAGUAAGUUGACCGGUCGNGAGACGUACGACGACGACGACGACGGAGGGAGGAGG
RNAcentral lists this ribosomal RNA (657 nucleotides) under uncultured bacterium. Its description in RNAcentral is "bacterial SSU rRNA". The stretch from base 1 to 564 matches the Rfam family "Bacterial small subunit ribosomal RNA", at positions 338 to 873 of the family's 1533-position model. The record is from RNAcentral.